Molecule: long non-coding RNA, 358 nt
Filed under: Taeniopygia guttata (zebra finch)
Lineage: Eukaryota; Metazoa; Chordata; Aves; Passeriformes; Estrildidae
Description: lncRNA (ENSTGUG00000020243.1)
Source: RNAcentral
GUGUACUUCAGUAACUCAGUCAACAGAGGGAAGCAGAUGGCAAACAUUUCCUCCCAGAAGCCCGGGGUUUCUUUCUGGUAUUUUAGCAAUAUGACAGUUUGUCUAGAAAAAAAAUCUGUUGGGAAAAAACACUGCUAACACUGAUCUUUCCCUGCUCAUCUGGACACCAUAAAGGUUCCAGAGAGAAACAGCAAUCUCCAACUGCAACUGUGAUCUCAUCCCCCUGAAGACAGCAGGGUGAAACGUCUAAUUAUUACCCAUGGUACCAAGUCUCUGCACAGUGCACAGGUCUUCUGGUUUUGGUUUUGUUUUUUUAAAGAAAUCUUCUUUCUCUUAUGCCAUAAAUGUUAGAACUGAG